This 659-nucleotide unclassified non-coding RNA is filed under the name Bradyrhizobium sp. Its description in RNAcentral is "partial contains 16S-23S ribosomal RNA intergenic spacer and 23S ribosomal RNA". The stretch from base 553 to 659 matches the Rfam family "Bacterial large subunit ribosomal RNA", at positions 1 to 106 of the family's 2925-position model. The record is from RNAcentral. Lineage: Bacteria; Pseudomonadati; Pseudomonadota; Alphaproteobacteria; Hyphomicrobiales; Nitrobacteraceae.
CGCGCUUGAUAAGCGUGAGGUCGGAAGUUCAAGUCUUCCCAGGCCCACCACUUUCAUCGAGUGAGCAUUCGUCUUCUGGUUACGGGGCCAUAGCUCAGCUGGGAGAGCGCGUGCUUUGCAAGCAUGAGGUCGUCGGUUCGAUCCCGUCUGGCUCCACCAGAUGGUUUGAUUACCGAGGUCAUGCACCGUCGUCCGCGAAACAUCACUUCGCACUUGCUAGUCCGGAUGGACAGUAAGCUGCGUGAUUUCUGACAUCGUAAAGAGGAGAUCGAUCCGAGUUGGAUCGUGCAGAAGAUUUCUGCGCGAUACUUCAUUAUCUCCGGAUCAUUUCGGCGCUUGCUUCGCCCUUCAAGGUCAAACUUGAAAGACGAUGCAAGUUGUAAAUGAUCCUUUUAGCGAAGCUUGACCGCCUCGCUAUCGGAACGAUCUUACGAAGCAAGCUGGUCUUUCUAGUCAAUGUCCGGCUGCAGAUAGCGUUCAUCGAGGGCGCGUGCCGCAAGGUAAUUCUGCAGACAACAUUCUGCCGAGUGUGUGGACAUUGAUAAUGAGAGCAAUCAAGUGCCUUAAGGGUGUUCGGUGGAUGCCUUGGCGCUGAGAGGCGAUGAAGGACGUGCUACGCUGCGAUAAGCCGUGGGGAGCUGCGAAGAAGCUUUGAUCCA